ACCCUGGCACCUCCCCACAGCCCCGCAUCGGACCCAAGGACAGUCCCAGGAGACGUGGGGGCGCUCACCCCUUUCGUGGACGGGAAACUGAGGCAGGCGGGUGAAGGUCGGCUCACAUGCGGAGCUCAGGUGGGUGGGGACCCUGGGCCAAGACCCUGUCUCAGUGCCUCAGUGGGGACUGGGUUGGAUGGGAGGGGGGAUACGGUGCAGGAGGAGGGGACUUAGAACCAGGGGGAGAGCGGAGAGCCUCCAGGAUGAACUAGGGGAGAAGGGAAUGGCAGCAGCGUUCGCUCCUAUUCACCGAACCCCUGGCUGGCUGACCCGGGAAAAACAGUCUACCAAUUUAUCUCAUAAAGUAACCCUAAAAUACUUCUGCAGGCAUCACCCUAUGUUCCAGGUGAGCCACUGAGGCUCAGGGAGGACAGAGGUGAAGGAUCUUGCCCCAGUCACAGGAGGAAUCACAGGCAGAAAGGGGGAGAUGGAAAGAGGUAGGAGGGAGAGCAGGGAAGGAGAGGAGGGACUGGAGGGGGCAGAAGGAAGGGGAGGUGGCUGUCCCAGGAUGGAGUCAGGGGCCAUCCUCAAAGUCCAGCUUCAGCUUCUCCAGGUUUUUGCCCACAUCCUGGGACAGGGGGCUCCUCUCCCCCUGGACAUACUCAUCCGGUGGGCAGCUGUGCCUGCUAGGAAGGCCUUCUACCCACCUCCCAGACAUCCCACAGGGAAGCAACUUUCACUCCCAGACCGCUGGUGCUCCCCUGCCUCCCAGGCCUGGGGUGGGUGUGGGUGAGGACGCUGCAAGGUAGUGGUCAGGACACAAGCAUCAGCAUCGGACAUCCCUGGUUCAAGUCCUACUCAGAGUGGGAAGGACACAGACUUUGCAGUGAUUCCUUGUGUGUGACUCCCAGCUUCACCACUCCUGGUUGUGCAACCUCAGACAAAUGCCUUGACCUCCCCUGGCCUCAGCUUCCUUAUCUGUCAAGUGGGGUAUUCCUAGUCUCCCCAGGCCACUGAGGGGCAUGGUGGGAAUGGAUAAGAAUGUGGGUGUGAGCUGUAUGCAUGGGAGGGAUUGAUUAUGUUCCAGUAUGUGCCUGCUAGGAAGGCCUUCCACUCACCUCCCAGACAUCCCACAGGGAAGCAGCUCAUGUUCACUGAGCACUGACGGGAUGGCUGGUCCUACAUGAAGUCCCAGGAAAGACCUGUGCAUGAAGUCCCAGGGAAGACCCUGACCCGCUCCCUGUGCAGGCAGGGUAGACAGACACUUGAACAAAUAACCACAGUCCAAGACACAAAUGCAGAUCAUUUUCAGAUGCAUUUAAUUCUGAACAGCCCUGUGAGGAGGGCAGGACAAAGAUUAUUAUCCCAUUAGACAGAUGAAGAAGCUGAGGUCCAGAUAAAUCAAGUGAGUUGCUGAAGGUCACACAGCAAUGAGGGGCAGAGCUGGGUCUUGACCCUGGAGCCCUUUUCACUCUGGGGGUACCAGGCCUGCCAGAAAGGUUAUCACCAAAGGGUUCUGGAAGAGUGACCUCCUCAAACUUUCCCUGUCCUCAGACUGGCUUGUGGCCUGAGAGUCCGCUAUCAGCACAUCAUACCUUUGGCUAAAAAUGUGCUAAAAAUGUGCCAGCCCCUCCAGUGUCAAUCAAAUGGCCAUCAGUCAUUUACACUUGAGUGUGGAGAAGCCGAUCAGAUUUUAUGGGUUGGAGAUGAGAAGGAAUCUUGAGUGUUUGGACUUUUGGGUGGGAAACUGGAGAUAUGAGAGGAAAGUUUGACAGCAGAGAGAACUCAGGAGGUGGGUGGGGAGGGAGUCAUGGUUAACUGGAGGAUGGAGUGAGUCCGCAUGACCUAGACACCUCUGUGUACCUCACCUCCAUGAAGUAUAACCAAUGUCUGGCACUCGUGGAGCACUUAGGAUAUACCAGACACUGUGCUCUCUCCUUUUUUUUGAGAUGGAGUCUUGCUCUGUCACCCACGCUGGAGUGCAUUGGCAUGAUCUCAGCUCACUGCAACCUCCACCUCUCCGGUUCAAGCAAUUCUCCUGCCUCAGCCUCCCGAGUAGCUGGGACUACAGGUGCAUGCCCAGCUAAUUUUUUUUAAAAACAUAUUUUAGUAGAGACCGGGUUUCACCAUGUUGCCCAGGCUGGUCUCCAACUCCUGAGCUCAGGCAAUCAGCCCGCCUUGGCCUCCCAAAAUGCAGCCGCUCUCUCCUUUAAUCUUUUUGUUUGUUUGUUUUUAAGACAGUCUCACUCUGUCGCCCAGGCUGCAGUGCAGUGGCACAAUAUCAGCUCACUGCAACCUCCACUUCCCAGGUUCAAGCAGUUCUCCUGCCACAGCCUCCAGAGUAGCUGGGACUACAGGUGUACACCACCAUAUUCAGCUAAUUUUUUUGUAUUUUUAGUAGAGAUGGGGGGGGUCACCAUGUUGGCCAGGCUGGUCUUGAACUCCUGAGAUACCCCUGCCUCAGCCUCCCAAAGUGCUGGAAUUACAGGUCUGAGCCACCAUGCCCGGCCUCUCCUUUACUCUUCAUGGCAACUGUUAUCUUUCUUUUUACAGAUGAGAAAAGGGAGGCACAGAGAGGCUAAAUAAUUUGGCCAAGAUCACACAGAAGCAGAGGAGCAGAAGGGUGGACCCAGGCAGGCCAGCUCUGCAGCCCCUGCUCUUGGCCACCAUGGGCUCCUCCUCUGGGCUAACCCAGCCCUUGCCAGAAUCCUACAUGGAAAGUAUUAUCAUCCCAUUGAAUAGAAGAGGAAAUGGAGGCACAGAGGGGCCCCAGGAUGGCAGAAUUAGUAACUGGGGUUGGGGGGAGCUGGGAUUAGACCCAGGUCUGAAAGCCAGGCCUUCCCUCUACCCUUCCUAUUUGCCAAACACCCGGGCCCCAUCCUGCCCAAGGUCAGCAGCCCAGGUGGCAGGAUGUGCUUCUGCCUGGUGCUGGCCUUGGGGAGCACUUGUUUUUCCCCAGAGGAAGCAGCAGGUGUGGCCUUCUUUAUGGAAAUGAUCCUAACUGGGUUGGAGCCAGGAUUCCCCCCAACACACACCCAGGCCAGGAGGACUUCAAUAGGACUAGGUCAGAGCUUCUAGGCUUGGAUGGAGGGGCUGGAAUUUGGGAGAGGGGCUCGGAGGUCAGUCCCAUUUUGGUAAGCCUCUCACCCUCUGGACUCCAUAUCUCCUGCUAAUCGCACUCCUUGGAUGAGACAGUGACAUGGAAGUGCCUCCCAGCUCAGCCCUGGGGAGACCUCUCCAAGGUCACUGAAGGAAGCUGGGGGCAUGCCCCUACCCUUCUUUCUGGAGCAGAGCCCUGGGACCUUCUGGAGUCCCAGUCAGGCUGGGGUCUACAAGGGUUAAGACUCCAAGUGACUUCUCUGUCUGCCCCUCAUGCAGAUAAAAGUUUCCAUUCAAGGAAGAGCUGCCUUAGGGCUGCCAAGUUAUCCUGAUUCUGUCAUUGUAGCAUCAAGGUGGGGGCCUUGGGCCUUCCCAGCCUCUUCAAGGGGACAUUCUUGGGUGGGAUGUGGCUCCUAACUGGUGUCACCACCUCAAAGGCCAAUAUCCCAAGACCCAGAAUUCCCACGUUGGACUCAGGGACUGGCGAGAUCACACUGACUCCUUCUGCCAGGGCCCUUUAAGAGCCGCCCAUCCCGCCCAUGAUGCUCCUGCUUAGUGAGUCAGACACUUGCAUUAGGCCCCAGGGGAGGAAGAGAAACAGGCCUCAGAAAGCACUUGGAAGGGCAGGGAAGGGCUGGGAAGAAACCUGGCUCAGAAGAUGGUGCCCUCCCCUCACAUAUUCCCAGACUGGAAGGGGCAUCUUACUUCUGAGCUCCCCACAGCCCCAGCCUCCUGGCUGUCUCUCCUGGCUGCUGAAAUAAAGGCCAAGCCCUUUUAUCACCUUUGUUAUGUGACCCUGCCUGCUGGUUGGGCCUCAUCUCUCGCCCCUAGUUCUUUGCUUUCAGGGCCACACCAGCCCUCUUGACUGUUCUUGAAUCCAUCAUGAUUCUUUCUACCCCAGGGACCUUGCACUAGCCAGCAUCUUGCUGCGCUUCCUCCCGUCUCAAUUGGCUAAUGUGGGAGAGGCAUUUUCUUUACACACCCAGAGAAAAUAGAGCCUGCUACCUUCCAAGACUGAGAGGGUUGGAAGAAACUUUUUGUAUUGUAGCUUGAGGGUGGGAAGGAGAAGACACAAUUUGAGCAUAAGAAGGUGAGCUGGAAGCUGGGCACGGUGGCUUAUGCCUGCAAUCCCAGUGUUAGGAAUGCUUGUUCUCCACUGCUGCAAAGAAAUAGCACUCAAACAUAAAUUUAAUUUUCUCAGCAAGCAAUUUUUAGUUUCUGUAGAAAGGGUGCUCCUCAUAGAUGGAACAAUGGUGAGAGCACAGUUGAACAAGGGAGGGGAAGGGGUUCUUAUUCCUGACCCAGGUAAUCCCUGCUGCUAUGUUGUUCCCCUGUUGGCUAAGGUUGGACCGCACGGUCUAAGCUAAUUCCGAUUGGCUAUUUUAAAGAGAGCAGAGGUAUGAGCCAGAGUGGCGAGGUGAGUAGUUUGGCAGGAAGGACAGUUAGGAACGGGUAACUAAAGGUGACUUACAUCAGAGCAGGUGACCAGGGGUGACUCAGGUCAAAGCAGGUGACUGGGAUGAGUCAGGAUGGAGCAAGUGACCAGGGGAACAGGUGUGAACUACUGAAUAAAACUGAUGGAAAAGGUUGUUUACUGAAAUUAGAAGCAAGGGGGCGAAGAGAACCAGGAAGUUAAACUUUAAAAUGGAGAAUCAAAGAAUAAGAGAGCUGAACAUACAGACAUACUGAUUCUUUGAAGAAAAACUUGGGGUUCACCAUAUUUAACAUGAGCACUUUGGGGGGUUGAGGCAGGUGGAUCACUGCAGGUCAGGAGUUCGAGACCAGCCUGGCCAACAUGGUGAAACCCCGUCUCUACUAAAAAUACAAAAACUAG
Molecule: long non-coding RNA, 4924 nt
Filed under: Homo sapiens (human)
Lineage: Eukaryota; Metazoa; Chordata; Mammalia; Primates; Hominidae
Description: non-protein coding lnc-FAM192A-4:3
Source: RNAcentral